RNAcentral lists this transfer RNA (72 nucleotides) under Pristimantis aff. ridens C AJC-2008. Its description in RNAcentral is "tRNA-Tyr". The record is from RNAcentral. Lineage: Eukaryota; Metazoa; Chordata; Amphibia; Anura; Strabomantidae.
UGAUAAAAAGAGGAUUUUAACCUCUGUUGUCGGAGCUACAAGCCGCCGCCUAGCUUUCUCAGCCAUUUUACC